CCUACACCCAUGUGUGUAGGACCUCAAAGGAUCACCAUUAAAUUCGGCACAGAUCUUUAGAAAGUCAUCACAUGGGUGUGGGACUUGAAUUUUUUAGAGAUCUGUGUCAAAUUUAAUGGUGAUCCUUUGGGUUCCUACACACAUGGGUGUGGG
This 153-nucleotide microRNA precursor is filed under the name Amborella trichopoda. RNAcentral's name for it is "MIR8565 microRNA precursor family". It matches the Rfam family "MIR8565 microRNA precursor family". The record is from Rfam by way of RNAcentral. Lineage: Eukaryota; Viridiplantae; Streptophyta; Magnoliopsida; Amborellales; Amborellaceae.